RNAcentral lists this long non-coding RNA (1013 nucleotides) under Equus caballus (horse). Its description in RNAcentral is "lncRNA (ENSECAG00000043820.1)". Lineage: Eukaryota; Metazoa; Chordata; Mammalia; Perissodactyla; Equidae. The record is from RNAcentral.
ACAAAACAAAGUGAAAUGACUGUUACGUGAAUGCCAGAAUGAGCCUCUCUGAGUAAAAGAAGAACAACUGGGGCAUGCACUACCUUACCUACCUCGAGUUUAAGGGACAUUUGCACAGAGACACUUAAAAGGGGAAUUCAGAAAGGAAACAGUGCUGAACAGAGUCUGAUGCCCAUAAAGACUACAGAGAGAAGUAGGUUGAAAACCAGCUAAGUCACUGGUGUUUCUUGCAGGAGUAGCAAGGAGGUGUUACUGUGGUAUUUAACACAUGAACAAGUAACAGCAAAGAAUGAACCGGAAUAGGCGGGGCUAAUGCUGCGAAAAUUACCUAGCGAAGCCUAUAUUUAGGAGGAAGAGAAGAAUUGGCUCUAUCUGUUUAAUCCUCAGGACAAUGAACUGUGAAGUACUUGGAAUUACAAUCGCAGAGCCCAGGGGCUGGCAGAGUGCUAUUCCCAACUCAAGAGGGUCAAGGACCCAGACACUAGAACAAGCAGACAAGAUAAUACUUGCUAGCCAUCAAAUUCCCACGAGUCAUCAAGAGGAAUAAGGGCAGAACAGAAAGUAGAGAUUCAAGGACUUCUACCGAGGAAUUGGAGAUUUGGGCGAUGGAAUGGGAAAGAAGGUCAACAUCACAACGUGAUGUCCCAGCAUCACAAGAGACAACUGGUGUGAGAUAUGGGAAGACGGAAAUUUCAGUGAUGAUGGAAUCUUCCACUCCACUGGGUACCACACGUGCAUUUCCAUGAGUUUCAACUGCUUCGUUCCUCCAACUAGAAACUUCCAAGUCAUCUGAGAUCCACAUGGGGAAAACGCCUUAUCCUGAGAACCAGCAGUUGACCAGAGGCUUUACACAGCUGACUGGCCUACCUGCCACAGAUGUGCCAAAGUUUUGCAAUUUGUGGUACUUCCUGUCAAUUCCUUGGUGUUCUAAUCAAUGCCUGCCUCCCCCACGUCCCUUGUCACCCUAUGGAACCAGGAAAAGAAUAAAAGUCUGUUAGAUCCCUUGAAGCAGU